Long non-coding RNA from Oxyura jamaicensis (ruddy duck), 3618 nucleotides. RefSeq lists it as uncharacterized. The transcript is spliced from 2 exons. The record is from RefSeq and is a predicted model, not a curated record. Lineage: Eukaryota; Metazoa; Chordata; Aves; Anseriformes; Anatidae.
CUCAUCUCCAGUCCAUGGGCUCACUCAAGGUGAGGCCUCACCACACACACCAUGUUGCACUGCACGUGCCAUGCUUGCAGAAAUGAGAGUGCUAGGUCCAAGCUCCCAGCCAUCAGGGCAUUCGGUGGCUGGCAGGAAUUUUUCAGUGGCUGUGUUGGAAGCUGUUGUGGCAGCAGCACCGAUGCGUGCCAGUGCCCCAGGGCAGGGGCAGCGGUGCUGGCGUGGCUGUGAGCAGGGCAUGACUAACGGAGGAGGUGCCUGCCUGCUCCUGACUCAGUGGCAGCUGCCUGGGGGAUGUGGGUGACAUUGGGGAGCUGGAAGAGGCCCAGCACUGACCUCAGAGGCAAAUCUGCCCAAGCUGCUCUCGGCAGCAGAAAGGCAGAGCGAGGUUGAGGCUUUCCAGGUAACUGCUAACAAACUGGUUUUCAUGGGUAGAGGCACUUACAUUUUGCUAGCAGAAAUGAGGAAAGAAAGAGAAAGAAAAGCCUUGCUUUGCAGGCAGCACCGUGCUAGAAGCCUCACACAAAAAAGGGAGAGGAGAGCUCCAUCUCCAUUACUUACCGUGUAUGUGUAAAUUGGGGGCCGUGGAGUCUAUGCAGAGACUGCUCCCCAGGGCCCUGCCAUCCUCUUCAGCCAAUUCCAUCUGUGACCUCGGUCAGUGACAAAUACAAUUCUGGCCCUGCCUGACCUCAAUUAACUUCCCUCUGGCCAUACCACAGUUCAGGACGGUAUGAUUCAUGCUGAAGUCAGGGAGUUAUUCACUAAAAGCUAAAAAUGUUAAGACUUCUGUUAGCUUUGGGUAUGUCAAAGCCAGCCCCACACCAGCUACUUAGCCUGGCUUCUACAGAGGUAGCAUUUGCCUAAGGUGGGCUGAUUUUUAAACCUCUACAUUGGCUCUCCCUAUAUUUAGAUAAUGUGGCCCUCAAGCAGCAGAAAAUAGAGCUUGCAUUUUCUCUUCCUUUUAAAUUCAAGAGAUCUUAAUAAUAAUAAUCUGCCUGUCCUGUGUAGCUGGUGUUGUCUUGCCUUUGGCCUUGCCCUGUUUGCGUGAACAGCAUCUCUAACUGAAGAAGAUAUUGGGUGAAAGAACGUCAAGACCCCCAGCAACAAUUAAAAAAAUCAUUAAGCUACAAUAGGCCAGUCAUUGCUGGGUAAUUAUUAAGCUGUAAGAAUUGCUAAUUGUCUUAUUAGCAUUAAACAAUUAUGCAAAUAAUGGAAAACAUACCAUAAAAGUAAUAAAAUUACCUCUCUUUUUCUUUUUAAACCAAUAAUGAGAUUUAAAAUCUAAAGUGACGCUUAUGGUUUUGCUCUCCGGGGUUAAUUGGGAAUGUCUUUGGAGAUGUUUUUUGCCUCCCAAUGUCUUUGGAGCCAGACCUCUCAUGGCACUCAGCGCAGGGGGAGCAGGACAUCUUCAGCCACAUCUAUUGUGAGUCUUGUGGGGGGGUUGUAGUGCCACCACCCUAGGCUGUCCCCUGUUCUGCACCUGCCACAGGCAGCAACGUGGGGACAUGCAGGUGCUGAGGGCUUUGGGGAGCCACAUGGUGGUCACGGUGCUAGACCAGGACUGGUGAGACCUUGAAAUUUGCAUUAUCACAGGCUUCCUGCAGCAUGUCUGGCUUUGUAUCACCUGCUCUCCCCCAGGUACAAUACGUGGGGCUUCAGGUUUGGUCUGGGUGGGAUCAAGUUGGUGGGUUUUACAUCAGUUCAGAGGGAAAGUGGAAAGUCCUGGCCUUUAAAGUUACUUUAUUUUAAAUAUUUCAUCCUCACUUAUCUUGUUAGUAACCCAGGGUAAGAGCUGGCCUCUCUUCCUGGUAAGGAACCAGAUGGACUUCAGAGUUCAGCUCUAAUGGAAUGCCAAAAAAAACAGCCUUGCCUUCCAGUGAAAGGAGAAUAAAGCCUCGUUUAGCCACGCCACCACGGAAAGGAGACUUCAUUUAGUUGUGUCCCCAAGAAGCUUGGAAGAGGAAAUGGCUUCUUUGCUAAGAGCACUAACAAUGUUAAUCACUAACAAAUGUUAUUGUGUUUCCAGGCUUUAAAUUGUGCUCUGCUGAUAAGAGAGCAUUUCAAAGCAGCCCAGCCACCUCCUGCUCCGGGGCGGGUCCUGCUCCCAUGGUGAUGCCAUGAUAGAUAUGGGUCACCUCACCCAAUCUCAUGAUCCAGAGAGGUUUUGAUCAGCAAAACACACCUCUCACUUUCUCUUUCCGAUAAGAACAGUGAAGUUUGUGGCUCUUGGAGAGCAGCAUUUUGCCAGAGCUGUGCAAAGAUCAGAGAUCACCCAUAGUCCAUAUCAAUUUUCUUGGAAGAGGAGGGGAGGUCACCUUCUCACAAGCACUGUCCCCGUUCCCUCAGAGUGCUCCUUUGAGCUCUCUGAGGUUCUCUGGUGCCCCACCAAGCAGCCUUUCAUGGCCCCUUUGUUUUUCCUUCUCACCUGGUACAUAGGAUGCAGCAUGUGAGCAGUCCCCGAUCCUUGCUGCUUGGAAAUGACUUCCUGACAUUGAUCCUGCACCUCACUGUUUUGGGGACAGGCAAGCCAACAGGCCACCUUGCCAGAAGGGCAACAAGUGACAGAGACUUUGUUUUUUCUCCAUCAGUUGUUCUGUUAUACCUGGGUGGCAGGUCACGCUUUGCCCUGAUGCUCACUGUUCUCAGUCCUUUGAGGUUUUAGGGUAAUGGAUUUACCAUUUAUGACCUUGGAGGCAUGCGUUGUGGAGAGAUUUACCGAAGUGCCUCUCUGUGUAACUUCACAUUUUGCUUUCAUCUUCUUUCAGUGGAAAUUCAUGUUCAGGCUUGAAUUUUGUAAUAACUUUUUUUUUCUACUGCUUUACAGGUCAAACUAGCCAGACUCCGAGGAGAGGCGGGUAUCACGCAGAAGCAUUUCUGUGCCCCUCCCCUGAGUGACCUGAUGGCAGAGGACAGAAGGACUGCCCAUCAUUAGCCAGUUUGCUUUUCAUAAAUUCUGCAAGUUUCCUCAAUCUAACAAAAAGGUGGCGUGGAAACAAACCAGGACAGCUCAGUUUUCAGGGUUCCAGCACUGCUACGAUGGAUAUUUCCAAACUGUAAGAAAGCAAGCAUCUUUUCUGAACCACGGACACACACACACACAACUUUGAGUUAAUCCAGCAUUUCUUUUGAUUGAUCCCUUGGUAAUCUGAUUAAUUCUGAGUGCAGUUGUUUAUCCCUUCCUUCACAGAAUACAACCAGUACUUGAGCGCAAGCUCUCUGUGCCAUAUUUCCUACUUGCCACACUGUUCUGUUAUUGUUACGGUCGUGCAGCAACAUAUGCUAAGGCCUUAUUACAAGGGAUUCCUAUAAAUGGCAUAAAGGAUUAAUAAUGUAUUUAUAACACAACUUUGUUUUAGUAUAAAGUGAUCUAUAAAGUUGUAAUAAAUGUUUUAUAAUGUUUUUGUAGCCUGUUAUAAAUGAUAAAUGGGAGACUAUAGAUGCCACAUCAAAUAUUCAUGCUGCAUUGUGUGCAUUAUUAUGCCGUUACUGUUCAGGAAACCAUUAAUAAUAAAGUGAAUGGAGAUGUAAAAGUUGCUGACAUGCCCAGCAAGCCAUUUAUAAUGAAAUGUAUAAUCCUUACCAUAAAGUAAAUACAUUGGCCAGUGACUGUUGAUGAAA